CGGGGAUCCUGGAAGACGGUCUGGAUCUCGCGCCGCGCGAGGCGGCGGACCUCUCGUGCGGCAAGCGGCUGACCGUUCCAGGAGAUUGUUCCCCGG
Molecule: transfer RNA, 96 nt
Filed under: Roseibium aggregatum
Lineage: Bacteria; Pseudomonadati; Pseudomonadota; Alphaproteobacteria; Hyphomicrobiales; Stappiaceae
Also listed under: 3 other names
Description: Labrenzia aggregata tRNA-Ser
Source: RNAcentral